GAUGCUGGUAAGGUUUAAAGACAUGUUUAGGUAAUACAUAUAUAUACCUCUCUCUGGUUGUUCGUCGCCUCACCGCUCUCUUCUCUUCUCUCGCCACUCACGUUAUUAGAAGUGAAACGGUACCGAACCCCCACGAUGUACUUGUACCAAGAAGACGAACAAUAUAACCUCUAGUAAAACGAGUAGUGGUGCCGCGGCAGACGUCGCGACCGCGCAGGUUCACGCUCUGGCCGUUUCCUUUACCCGCCGGGGUUGACAGGCCGUACAUAUCUUAUAGGAA
Molecule: ribosomal RNA, 280 nt
Filed under: Triticum aestivum (bread wheat)
Lineage: Eukaryota; Viridiplantae; Streptophyta; Magnoliopsida; Poales; Poaceae
Description: partial small subunit ribosomal RNA
Source: RNAcentral